Molecule: long non-coding RNA, 517 nt
Organism: Rhinichthys klamathensis goyatoka
Lineage: Eukaryota; Metazoa; Chordata; Actinopteri; Cypriniformes; Leuciscidae
Exons: 2
Source: RefSeq, a predicted model, not a curated record
UCACUGAACCACAAGGUCAAAAACACCAGGUUUAAAAAUAAAUUGAAAGGCCUCAUUAUGGACAACUUUUAUUUUGCUACGCAUCACUGUGAUUAUUUAUUUCCGCGUUUCCAUUUCCACAACUUCAAAGCAAAGUUUAUGCUCCUGAAACCUUCAAGAAGUUUAUUUAACACGACGACAACAUUAGAAGUCUUGUUUUGCUAUAGUUACAUGUAUGUAAAUGUUGUGCAGUGUCUCUCCUGCUACGUGAUCAGGACACUUCAGUUACAGCAGUGUCGUCUAUGGUUCAUGUGGUACGUAAAUCGUAAUACUUAAAGGGGUAGUUCUGCCACCACGUACUCACCUAUUACUUUAUUCCGAGGAACACAAAAGAAAAAUGUUAGGAAUAUUGAGAGCCUCAGUCAUUAUUUGCAUUCGUUGUACGGGAAGAAGAUGCAGUGAAAGUAAAUGGUGUCUGAGGUUGUCAGUCCCUCUCAUUAUGCCUAUUGCCCGAUAUAUCCCUUUGUGUUCCACAGAA